CCUACGGGAGGCAGCAGUAGGGAAUAUUGCUCAAUGGGCGAAACCCUGAAGCAGCAACGCCGCGUGGAGGAUGACGGUUCUCGGAUUGUAAACUCCUUUUGUUAGAGAAGUUAAUGACGGUAUCUAACGAAUAAUCACUGGCUAAUUCCGUGCCAGCAGCGGCGGUAAUACGGAGGGUGCAACCGUUACACGGAAUCACUGGGCGUAAAGAGCGCGUAGGCGGGAUAGCAAGUCAGAUGUGAAAUCCUAUGGCUUAACCGUAGAACUGCAUUUGAAACUGUUAUUCUUGAGUAUAGGAGAGGUAGGUGGAAUUCGUGGUGUAGGGGUGAAAUGCGUAGAGAUCAAGAGGAAUACUCAUUGCGAAGGCGGCCUGCUAGAACGUAACUGACGCUGAUGCGCGAAAGCGUGGGGAGCAAACAGGAUUAGAUACCCGAGUAGUC
RNAcentral lists this ribosomal RNA (440 nucleotides) under uncultured bacterium. RNAcentral's name for it is "partial 16S ribosomal RNA". It matches the Rfam family "Bacterial small subunit ribosomal RNA", at positions 338 to 795 of the family's 1533-position model. The record is from RNAcentral.